Molecule: ribosomal RNA, 520 nt
Filed under: uncultured Glomus
Lineage: Eukaryota; Fungi; Glomeromycota; Glomeromycetes; Glomerales; Glomeraceae
Description: SSU rRNA
Rfam family: Eukaryotic small subunit ribosomal RNA
Source: RNAcentral
AGCAGCCGCGGUAAUUCCAGCUCCAAUAGCGUAUAUUAAAGUUGUUGCAGUUAAAAAGCUCGUAGUUGAAUUUCGGGAUCAAUACGUCGGUCGUGCUUUCGGGUACGUACUGGCGUCAUUGGUUUCUCCUUUCUGACGAACCAUGAUGUCAUUAAUUUGGUGUUAUGGGGAGUUAGGACUGUUACUUUGAAAAAAUUAGAGUGUUUAAAGCAAGCUAACGCUUGAAUACAUUAGCAUGGAAUAAUGAAAUAGGACGUUCGAUCCUAUUUUGUUGGUUUCUAGGAUUGACGUAAUGAUUAAUAGGGAUAGUUGGGGGCAUUAGUAUUCAAUUGUCAGAGGUGAAAUUCUUGGAUUUAUUGAAGACUAACUACUGCGAAAGCAUUUGCCAAGGAUGUUUUCAUUAAUCAAGAACGAAAGUUAGGGGAUCGAAGACGAUCAGAUACCGUCGUAGUCUUAACCAUAAACUAUGCCGACUAGGGAUCGGAUGAUGUUAAUUUUUUAAUGACUCAUUCGGCGCCUU